CAGUCGCCACGGUAAUACGUAGGGUGCAAGCGUUAAUCGGAAUUACUGGGCGUAAAGCGUGCGCAGGCGGUUAUAUAAGACAGAUGUGAAAUCCCCGGGCUCAACCUGGGAACUGCAUUUGUGACUGUAUAGCUAGAGUACGGCAGAGGGGGAUGGAAUUCCGCGUGUAGCAGUGAAAUGCGUAGAUAUGCGGAGGAACACCGAUGGCGAAGGCAAUCCCCUGGGCCUGUACUGACGCUGAGGCACGAAAGCGUGGGGAGCAAACAGGAUUAGAUACCCCCGUAGUCCCUGUCUCUUAUAC
This 301-nucleotide ribosomal RNA is filed under the name uncultured bacterium. RNAcentral describes it as "partial 16S ribosomal RNA". It matches the Rfam family "Bacterial small subunit ribosomal RNA", at positions 509 to 807 of the family's 1533-position model. The record is from RNAcentral.